This 505-nucleotide ribosomal RNA is filed under the name uncultured bacterium. RNAcentral's name for it is "partial 16S ribosomal RNA". It matches the Rfam family "Bacterial small subunit ribosomal RNA", at positions 28 to 507 of the family's 1533-position model. The record is from RNAcentral.
GACGAACGCUGGCGGCGUGCCUAAUACAUGCAAGUAGAACGCACAGUUUAUACCGUAGCUUGCUACACCAUAGACUGUGAGUUGCGAACGGGUGAGUAACGCGUAGGUAACCUGCCUGGUAGCGGGGGAUAACUAUUGGAAACGAUAGCUAAUACCGCAUAAUAUUAAUUAUUGCAUGAUAAUUAAUUGAAAGGUGCAAUUGCACCACUACCAGAUGGACCUGCGUUGUAUUAGCUAGUAGGUGAGGUAACGGCUCACCUAGGCGACGAUACAUAGCCGACCUGAGAGGGUGAUCGGCCACACUGGGACUGAGACACGGCCCAGACUCCUACGGGAGGCAGCAGGAGGGAAUCUUCGGCAAUGGACGAAAGUCUGACCGAGCAACGCCGCGUGAGUGAAGAAGGUUUUCGGAUCGUAAAGCUCGGUUGUAAGAGAAGAACGGGUGUGAGAGUGGAAAGUUCACACUGUGACGGUAUCUUACCAGAAAGGGACGGCUAACUACGUG